Long non-coding RNA from Drosophila mojavensis, 2311 nucleotides. RefSeq lists it as uncharacterized. The record is from RefSeq and is a predicted model, not a curated record. NCBI's taxonomy places the organism in Eukaryota, Metazoa, Arthropoda, Insecta, Diptera, Drosophilidae. The transcript has 2 exons.
GUUAUUGAAAAGCGCAAGGCGAAGGUGCCGCCGCUACUGCUGCUGUGACCGUCGCGCACGCUGUCGUCAUCGCGGCUAAUAAGAAGAAAAAACAAUAAAGAAGAAAUAGGAGAAAAAGUGGGAGCAGCUAGCAAAAAAAGAAAUUCCUGUAACUAUAUUUUCGCUCAAUAUACUCAUUGUUUGCCAUUUCUCGAUACAUACAGACAAAUUAGAUAUACAUAUAUAAAUUAUAUAUAUAUAUAUAUAUAUAUAUAUAUGCUUGCUUCUAUCUCGUGACUUGUAAAUGUUGAGUAUAUUGACUCCUUUCUGGUCACACAAAUUAAUAUUGUGAAAAUCAACUAAUAAUUGCUAUUGAGUGUGGGCUGUAGCAAGGGACGCGCGGUUGGUCACACUAUAUAUCUGCGUGUGUGAGUGACCUCGUGUCGGUGUGUCGCGUGCUUGCGCCUGUGUGUGUGUGUGUGUGUGCGGCAGCGGCAAGGAGUGUCAUGCGUAUUUUCCUGCCUCUCCCACGACGAACGCUUCGUAUCAACAACAAGCUGAAUACGCGUUGCUCCUUUGCUCCAACGAGUUUUAUCUUGUUUUCCGUUUUAAUCAUAUGCGGGUGCUGAGAGACAAUCACGUCAUCCAGCCUAAUACACAUAUACACAUACGCACACUAUAAAGUCAUUUAUGUUAACUUUAGAGCUGAGUCGCAGCUGUGUGCGUGUAUAUUUGUGUGGGUAGGCGGUCCAUCAAUUCUAUUGUUAUUAAUAUUGUUUUUUCUUCUCAUUCAUUUUGAGCUUAAUCAAUUCAAUUAGCGUGUCCACAUACUAUAUACAUAUACAUACAUAUGUAUAUAAACAUAUAUUCCUAUAUGUCUUUCUUUCUUUCUUAUCCUUAUCAAUGGGUAACACUUUAGAAGAGUGACUUGAUGUUACACAAAUAAUAACAAAAUUACUCAAAUUCAUAUAAUAAUAAUGUUAGAGAUGUCACAAAAAUUAUGUUUGCCGCUGAUUAAUAAUUGGUCAGCAGCAUCACAUCAUCGACUUAGUUUUUGUUCCCAUUUUCGUAAGUCAGUUAGCUAGCGCAUGUGUUUGUGUGAACAGUAAAUAAAAUAUGACCGGGACACUGAGUCAUGGCUGCUCGAUGACGUUAUGCUGCGCUAAAAGGCAAUUUGUCUCGCAAGUGGUUCUAACUUUGCCAAUAAAACUGAAACUUUAUCGAACAAAAAAGAAUUAUAAUAAUGGUUUAUCAAUCGAUAUCGAGUUCGGCUGGCAAUCGAUAACAUGAGAUUAUAACUAACUAUACUAUUUUUUGUAUAAAAAAUUAAUUUUAUGCUCUCGCACACACACAUACAGCGAGCAGAGCUAAACAAUAUUGAGCUCGGCUCACAGUCUAUAACAUGAUUUGAGCUAUCGCGCUCAGGAGAAGUUGCAAAAUGUUGAACAAAAAUACAGGAUAAAUUAGUAUUGCUAUUGUAUUAUUAUGCGUUUGGCUUUAUAAGUGCGCGCGCGUCUUUUUUAUUUUUUUUUUAUAUAUUUUUUUUUUUUAGCCUAGCAGCUACCCAGCAAAAAUCAUGUUGAAACUGCUGCCAACCGCUUUCAGGCAGCUUUUCAGUGCCACUGAAGUCGCUUCCCUCCACCCCCUGCAGACGUAGCCGUAGUCCCUCUUUGUCCAUUGCUGCGAUACGUGAACGUUUUACGUUGUUGCCGACUUGUAUGUUUGUAUGAAAAUACUGCAAUGAGCUCCUUAUCUUAAUUAAGUAUGUAUGUAUGUAUGUAUGUAUGUAUGCAUGUGUGUAAAAAUAUGUGUCUAUGAGUAUGUGUGGAAUAUGCGUAUAAAUUGUGACGGAAACAUUCAGUGCGAAUGCCGCCGCAUGCACGUCGUUGCGGGGUAAACAAACUGCCGUUGCUCUGCAGCAGCUGCCGGCGUCUCAGUCGGCGUCGUUGCCUCUGCUUUUGCUGAUAACACUGCUGACAAACGAAUUUCAAUAUAAAAGUAACAGCAAAAACAAUGAGCUAAGAACAAAUCUGUACGACUUUUAUCAGUCAGCCAUGACGACGUCGCUGUCGGCGUCAGCCUGUUAAUUUUUGCUCUCCUCUUCUUUUUUUUUGCCUACUCGCUCACUUGGUGUACAACGGCCAGUUCAGUCUGCUCGCUGAUUUCGUUGCGUUACGUUUACGCUUACGUUGCUGCUGUGUUCCGUUCUGUUGUGUUCCGUGUCCGUUUUUUCGCUAUUUCUUUUGCGACGAGAAAUAAGAACAAAAGCUGGAGCUGGUUAAAUAAAGAGAAAGAGCAAAAAGAGAAGAAUCGUCAGAACAAAACACAAAAA